This 67-nucleotide transfer RNA is filed under the name Marmota monax (woodchuck). RNAcentral's name for it is "tRNA.Undet". The record is from RNAcentral. Lineage: Eukaryota; Metazoa; Chordata; Mammalia; Rodentia; Sciuridae.
GGUUGUGGCUCAGAGGUAGAGUGCCCAACUAGUAUGCAUGAGGUGCUGGGUUCGAUCCUCAGCACCA